Cyprinus carpio (common carp) is the source of this 1288-nucleotide long non-coding RNA. RefSeq lists it as uncharacterized. NCBI's taxonomy places the organism in Eukaryota, Metazoa, Chordata, Actinopteri, Cypriniformes, Cyprinidae. The record is from RefSeq and is a predicted model, not a curated record. The transcript has 3 exons.
UUUGCCACUGCAAGCACCACUCACAUUUUCUUCAGGAAAUGUACAUUCUAGUUAGAUAUAUUAGACCCUGCCUUAAUGUCUGAGUUCCAUGCUGCCCAUCCCGAUCUUCCGGCACCUCGGGGCAGAGGUAGACCACUAUGACGUCGAGGUAUUCGGCCCUCAGGAGUGGGUCGUGGAGGAGGGGGUACUGUAACAGAUCGACCAGGCUCCACCACCACCCAAUCACAGCGAUCCCUAUCACCUGAGUACUGAGCACUUGCACCUGUCACCCACCAGCACCUCGUCAACUGGCCUGUAUAUAAGCACACACCUCAGACACCCUCAUUGUCUAAUCUCGUACACACGUAAAGGGCUCUCUGACUUUGCGAUCAACAAAACAGUGUUUGUGGGGGAAACGUUUACACUUCACUGCAACAAAACUGUGGGAGAUCAAACUAUCACAUUGAGAUUGAACAACACCAUUAUUUUAGUCAUGAUUCCUACAGUAACAGAACACUGAGAAACUUCUGCUCCAACGGGAUUCACAUCGACUCGGCAGCUCCAAGAGAAUUAACAAUACAUCAAAUACAAGCAUCUGAUGCAGGAAACUACAGCUGUUACCCAGCAGCAAUAAGAUGGACAUUAACAGUAACAGGAAACUAAAGCAGAUAAAGAUUAACUCUGAUCUCUGUGAAAGAGACCAGGAGUGUGUCUACAGCCUUCACACAGUUUCAUGAACAUGAUCUUUCCUUUUCAAGACAGCAGUGUGUCUGACAUUCAUCAGAAGAGCAUCUCAAUACAGAAAGAUGUUGUAACUUUGUAAUGAAUACAGUCUCAGAGGAUCUGUUUGUACUGUGUUUGUACAUGUGUAUUUGUCCCUGAAAAUUUUAUUUAAUGGUCUGAUUUUUUUUUUUUUUAUGUUAAACAAAUAAAUGGGCCAGGUACACUGUACUGCUGUCAUUUUCAGACUUUAAACUUUAAACUUUAAUAUGCCUAAUAUCAACAAUACAGAAAAGAUCUGACAGGGUAAAGAGUGUCUGCAAGGUGAUUUAUUGCAAAGAACUAAUUACCAAAUGUGAAUGUGCGGAAAUAAUUUCAGACUAUUAUAUUUGACAUAUUGCUGUUGUGACUAUAGUCAGAACAGACUUCACAAGCUCUUGAGUUCUUACUGUCGGAAAACACAGGGUGGCGCCAUAACAAACACUGAGCUGAAGUAAUGCAGCAUUACAGGAGAGUCCUACUGAAAAUUGUGUUGUCACAAAACAGAAAGGAAGCAAGAAGCAUUCAACAUAUUUCACCUUCCUCAUGA